UACGUAGGUGGCGAGCGUUGUCCGGAUUUACUGGGCGUAAAGAGCGCGCAGGCGGUCGUACAAGUCGCGUGUGAAAGCCCCCGGCUCAACUGGGGAGGGUCACGCGAUACUGUUCGACUCGAAGGCAGGAGAGGGAAGCGGAAUUCCCGGUGUAGUGGUGAAAUGCGUAGAUAUCGGGAGGAACACCAGUGGCGAAGGCGGCUUCCUGGCCUGUUCUUGACGCUGAGGCGCGAAAGCUAGGGGAGCAAACAGG
This 253-nucleotide ribosomal RNA is filed under the name uncultured bacterium. Its description in RNAcentral is "partial 16S ribosomal RNA". It matches the Rfam family "Bacterial small subunit ribosomal RNA", at positions 524 to 776 of the family's 1533-position model. The record is from RNAcentral.